RNAcentral lists this ribosomal RNA (484 nucleotides) under uncultured bacterium. RNAcentral's name for it is "partial 16S ribosomal RNA". It matches the Rfam family "Bacterial small subunit ribosomal RNA", at positions 30 to 507 of the family's 1533-position model. The record is from RNAcentral.
AUUGAACGCUGGCGGCAGGCCUAACACAUGCAAGUCGAGCGGAUGAGGGGAGCUUGCUCCUGGAUUCAGCGGCGGACGGGUGAGUAAUGCCUAGGAAUCUGCCUGGUAGUGGGGGAUAACGUCCGGAAACGGGCGCUAAUACCGCAUACGUCCUGAGGGAGAAAGUGGGGGAUCUUCGGACCUCACGCUAUCAGAUGAGCCUAGGUCGGAUUAGCUAGUUGGUGGGGUAAAGGCCUACCAAGGCGACGAUCCGUAACUGGUCUGAGAGGAUGAUCAGUCACACUGGAACUGAGACACGGUCCAGACUCCUACGGGAGGCAGCAGUGGGGAAUAUUGGACAAUGGGCGAAAGCCUGAUCCAGCCAUGCCGCGUGUGUGAAGAAGGUCUUCGGAUUGUAAAGCACUUUAAGUUGGGAGGAAGGGCAGUAAGUUAAUACCUUGCUGUUUCGACGUUACCAACAGAAUAAGCACCGGCUAACUUCGUG